This is a long non-coding RNA of Bos taurus (domestic cattle), 2761 nucleotides long. The record is from Ensembl. Lineage: Eukaryota; Metazoa; Chordata; Mammalia; Artiodactyla; Bovidae.
UGGGAAGAGUGCCAGACCCUUCCUUCCUUCCUUCCUUUCCUUCUUUCUUUUUUUCUUUCUUCCCCCUCCUUCCUUCCCUACCUCUCUCUCUUUCUCUCUUCCUCACACCCUCUCUUCCUUUUUCCCUCCCUUCCUUUCUUUUCUUCCUCUCCUUCCCUUGCUCUUCCUCUUCAUUCGCCCCUCCCUCCCUCUCUUUCUCUCACCCAUUUUAAGACUACCUACUGACACCAUUGGUGUUACUGCUCACAGAACCUGAUCCCCCCACUUCCACUGCAGUAUUCUAUCCUGACUUCUGGAAGGGGCCAGUGGAGACCAGACUGGCCCUCAAAAAGAAAAAGGAAUGGAGGCACAGACUCUGAUCAGCUGGUGGCAGUUCUGUCAGAGAGACAGACAGACAAAGAGAGAGACAGAGACACAGAGUCAGAGAAUGUUGAAUGUGUGGUUUGUGGGUACACGGGGAGCCCCCUGAGGAGUGAGGCUCAGACACUGACCUCGAAGAACUUGGUGUUCCUGGGACAGAAGAUGAAUGGCCGUGAAGUAUGACUUAUAAAACAUUCAGAACUUUGGCAGCUCCAAAGCAUUGGAAUCUCUGCUCUCAGACACACACCUUUGUAUCCUAACUCUGAAAAGCCAUGGCUGUGUGAGAUUGUGUAACCAGGAGACCCACCACCCCGGUAAGGGAGCUUGUCCUGUAAGAGGGGCACCUCUGAAGGGCCCAGAUGACAGGAGCAGCAGGGAGGCUGUGGAGAGGGUAGCUGGAGGUGGCUCCCGCCCCUGGCACGUAACUCCUGGGAUGUACACACAGAAUCACAGCUACACAUCUGUUGACGAUUCCUAUCGUAUCCCCUCCACAUGUUGGCUCCUUCUGAUGAAUCCCUUGGGGCUUCCCUCUUUCCUCCCUUCUAUCAGAUCUCACUUUCUGAUUGUAACUUGAGUUGGGAUAGGGGGAGGCACACACUCUGUCUGAUUUCACCACUUCCUCGGGGGCCCUGAUUACCAGGUUAAAGGUGUGCAUGCGUGUGUGUGUGUGUGUGUGUGUGUGUGCGUUUAUACCAGUUGCUGUUGCUAUUCAGUCAACAAGUCAUGUCUGACUCUUUUUGACCCCAUGAACUGCAGAAUAUCAGGCUUCCCUGUCCUCCACUAUCUCCCAGAGUUUGCUCAAAUUCACGGCCAUUGAGUUGGUGAUGCCAUCCAACCAUCUCAUCCUCUGUCGUUCUCUUCUUCUCCUGCCUUCAAUCUUUCCCAGCAUCAGGGUCUUUUCCAAUGAGUCAGUUCGUCGCAUCAUGUGGCCAAAGUAUUGGAGCUUCAGCUUCAGCAUCAGUCCUUCCAAUGAAUACUCAGAGUUGAUUUCCUUAUGAUUGACUGGUUUGAUCUUCUUGCAGUCCAAGGGACUCAGAAGAGUCUUCUCCAGCAGCAUAGUUCGAAAGCAUCAGUUCAUUAUUGUUCAGCUUUCUUUAUGGCCCAACUCUCACAUCCAUACAUGACCACUGGGGAAACCAUAGCUUUGACUAGAUGGACCUUUGUUGGCAAUAGAUAGAUUUUUUUGUGCAGAACGUGGCUCAUGGGGAUGAUUCAUCCUCAGCUGUUUCACACUUGGGGCUUAGGAAAUUCAUGUCCAAUCAGCGGAGAACCAAUGGCCCAGAAGUUCUCUUAUCAACUUCUGAUAGGAGUUUGCAGCCCAUAAAACUCAGCUAGCACACUCCCUGCAGAGAAAACACCUGCACCUGGGCUUCUUGGCCCAGAAGGUUGUUAUUUAGUCACUGGUGAGUAAAGGGCACCAUUGUUCCUCCCCUCCCUUGUCACUAAAGAAAAACAAUCUGGCUCUGGCAGCGGGCAACUUGCCGGGGACCCUCACUGGAUGCUUCUCUGAUAGAUCCUGCAGCCCGUGAGAAAAGGAGUGAUGGUAGUUUUCCUGGAUGAGCAGGGAGUGAUGCUGUGAUGGUGUUUUCCUGAAAUCCCAUCAACACUUGCAUGCGGACACUGUUUUGGUAAAUUAACGCUUCCCAGCACUAAAAUCAUUCAUGUCAUUAUUUCUAAAUAACAAGACUCAUGAAAGUGACAGAAGACAGUGGUGUAUGACCUGCAACCAGAAAGCAAACACGGAAUGCUUUUCAAACUUCAGUUAAGAAUUUCAGCCCGAAUCUCAGUCAGUUGUGGCAAGGUGGAUGAACUGAGAGCCUGUUAUACAGAGUUAAGUAAGUCAGGAAGAGAAAAACAAAUAUGAUGUAUUAAUGCACAUAUUCAUAUCCCCUAUCACGCUGAAGCUGAAGCUCCAAUGCUUUGACCACCUGAUGUGAAGAGUCGACUCACUGGAAAAGACCCUGAUGUUGGGAAAGUUUGAAGGCACGAGGAGAAGGGGGAGACAGAGGAUGAGAUGGUUGGGAUACAUCACUGACUGACUGGACAUGGUCUUGGGCAAGAUCUGAGAGACAGUGAAGGACAGGGAAGCCUGGAGUGCUGCUGUCCCUGGGGUCGCAAAGAGUUGGACAUGUCUUAAUGACUAACCAGCAACAACAACAGCACAUAUAUAUGGAAUCUAGAAAAAAAUGGUGCUGAUGAACCUAUUUGCAGGACAGCAAUAGAAAUGCAGAAGUUAGAAAACAGACUUGUGGACAUAGUGAGACAAGAAGAAGGUGGGACAAAUUGAGAGAGUAGCAUUGAAACAUAUACAUUACUAUAUGUAAAAUAAAUAGCUGGUGGAAAGCUGCUGUAUAACACAGGGAGCUUAACCCAGUGCUCUGUGACAACCUAGAGAGGUGGG